UACGAAGGGGGCUAGCGUUGCUCGGAUUGACUGGGCGUAAAGGGCGCGUAGGCGGUUUGUACAGUCAGACGUGAAAUUCCCGGGCUCAACCUGGGGGCUGCGUUUGAUACGUGCAGACUUGAGUUCGGAAGAGGGUCGUGGAAUUCCCAGUGUAGAGGUGAAAUUCGUAGAUAUUGGGAAGAACACCAGUGGCGAAGGCGGCUCACUGGACGCGUAUUGACGCUGAGGUGCGAAAGCGUGGGGAGCAAACAGG
This 253-nucleotide ribosomal RNA is filed under the name uncultured bacterium. Its description in RNAcentral is "partial 16S ribosomal RNA". It matches the Rfam family "Bacterial small subunit ribosomal RNA", at positions 524 to 776 of the family's 1533-position model. The record is from RNAcentral.